UUCAGCUUAAGGUUCCACUCUUGGAGUAAAUGGAGAAAUUUAUAACUGCGCGAUAACACCGCCCUGACCUUCUCUACUCAGCGUGAGAAUUAAUUACCUGAGGCCAGUCCUAUGGAACAUUGUGAAGGCACGAUUCAAAGACGCCAGCCAACCAUCUGGCACUUGAAAGAGGCUAAGAAAGCCAGUUCCAUGGACUCUCCCCAUCAUGGCAUCGG
This 215-nucleotide long non-coding RNA is filed under the name Homo sapiens (human). Its description in RNAcentral is "non-protein coding lnc-NAA35-15:1". The record is from RNAcentral. Lineage: Eukaryota; Metazoa; Chordata; Mammalia; Primates; Hominidae.